Molecule: long non-coding RNA, 2143 nt
Filed under: Homo sapiens (human)
Lineage: Eukaryota; Metazoa; Chordata; Mammalia; Primates; Hominidae
Description: novel transcript
Source: RNAcentral
GCUCUUGCAGUGUUCUCCCCGCAGGUGCUGCAUGGAGUGAGUGGCGGCAUCCACCGUGAGGAGGAGAGGAGCUCUGAUACCCUCAGGACCCGCCAGGAGGGGCAUCACGGAGGCUUCUGGACGACUUGGAGCUGUGUCCUGGGGAGAAAACCGCUCCUGUCUGGGCCCUGAGUGCUGAGGAGGAAGCUGCCAUGCACUUUUCCCUGGCAUUUUUCCUGCAUGGAGAGAGAGGUCCAAGGUGCCCUACAUCGUGCGUCAGUGCGUGGAGGAGAUCGAGCGCCGAGGCAUGGAGGAGGUGGGCAUCUACCGCAUGUCUGGGGUGGCCGCAGACAUCCAGGCACUGAAGGCAGGCUUCAACGUCAAUAACAAGGACGUGUCAGUGAUGAUGAGCGAGAUGGACGUGAACGCCAUCGCAGGCAUGCUGAAGCUGUACUUCCGUGAGCUGCCCGAGCCCCUCUUCACUGACGAGUUCUACCCCAACUUCGCAGAGGGCAUCGGAUGGCAGAGAAGGAGGCAGUCAAUAAGAUGUCCCUGCACAACCUUGGCACGGUGUUUGGCCCCACGCUGCUCCGGCCCUCCGAGAAGGAGAGCAAGCUCCCUGCCAACCCCAGCCAGCCCAUCACCAUGACUGACAGCUGGUCCUUGGAGGUCAUGUCCCAGAUCCAGAUACCUAAUAAGAUGCUGGAAUGUAAUCCCUGGACAAUCCGUGUCCUGGCAGCAUUUGGUCUUCCUCUAAGCGCCUGGCUCCGCUGUUCUCAGGAGUGGGUUCUGAAGUCUCUGGAGAACAGGAUACGUGGAGGGUUAGGAAGGGGCCAGGCCUAGAGACGGGAGACUCCCUCCCGGAGCAGGUGGAGGCACAGGACCAUUCGCUACCCCAUCUGCCGGCACCUGCGGGGGAGCCCAGGCAUUGUUUGUAAACCCUCCUGACUACCUGACUCAAAGAAAACAGAAGCAUGGAGGCCGCCAAGUAUUUUCAAGAAAUAAUCCCAUGAACGUGGCAUCACUUUUUUAGAAAGAGGGGCUUGGGGCAGGCAGAGGAGAGAAGGGAGAGCAAACUGAGAGCCAAGUUUCCAGACGGUCCUGCAGGAGGAGAGGAUGCAGCUGCGCAGAGGGAAGCAGGAUCACAUUUAAGGAAGUGUGUGGGGUCCCUGGAUGACACCAGCACCCAGUACGGCUCUGUCUGGCAACCGCUCCCAAGGUGGCAGGAGUGGGUGUCCCCUGUGUGUCAGUGGGCAGCUCCUGCUGAGCCCGCAGCUCACUGGGGAGCCUGACAGCGGGGCCAUGUGCCUGACACUCCUCUCUGCUUGUGGACCUGGCAAGGCAGGGAGCAGAAAACAGAGCCACUUGAAGGCUUUCUGUCUGCGUCUGUGUGCAGUGUGGAUUUAGUUGUGCUUUUUUCUUGCUGGGAGAGCACAGCCACCAUUUACAAGCAGUGUCACCCUCGUGGGUGGCGAGGACAGAACAGGAGCCUCUGCUCUCUGUACCUAUCUGGGCCCGGUGGGCUCCCUUGUCCUGGCUUCCAUCUCUGUCUCAGCAACCAUUCAGCCCUGCGCAGGAACACGUGUUGCUUAGAAAAGCCAAAUCCAGCCUUGUCUCUGCCUCCUCUGGUCUCAUGAUGUGCAUCUGUUACCUUGAAACUGGAAACCAGUCUAUCAAUGUCUGUGCCAAUUUUUUAUUCCCUCCCCAACCUCCUUCCCCAUACGACUUUUUAUUUAUGUAGGAUGUGUGCUGUCUAAUGAUGGGAUGACCACACUUUUCCAUGUUCUAAAAGUGCUCCUCUCCCGCAGGGUCCCAGGGCUGGUGGUUGCUUUGGGUCUACAGCUACGUCUUACCCGCCUCCUGCCUCAACAGCCUGUGUGGUGGCAAAGCCGGUGUGGGGCUGGGGAACGCAGCGUUCUCCAGGAGGGGGACCCGGCUCUCCUUCUGCAAUGCAGGCGAAGGCCUAGAUGCCAGUGUGACCUCCCACAAGGCGUGGCUUCCAGACUCCCCGGCCGGAAGUGAUGCUUUUUUGCCGUGGGCCCUGGGUUUGAAGCAGCCUGGCUUUCUCUUGGUAAGUGGCUGGUGUCUUAGCAGCUGCAAUCUGAGCUCAGCCACCUACACACCACCGUGGCCGACACUUUCAUUAAGAAGUUUCCUGAGACGA